UUGAUUCGGCCUUUUUAUCAACCCCUGUGCAAUGCGAAAUGGGGAGGUGGGCGAGGGCGUGAGGGAGGGAGGGGGUUCGGCUGGGUGCCUGUCUCCCCCUCCUUUUCGGCUUGUCCUCAACCGCCACCCCGUCAUCCUAAAAAAACACAUUUUUUGACGCUUCUGAGUUUCACAAACAAAUGAGACA
This 187-nucleotide unclassified non-coding RNA is filed under the name uncultured fungus. RNAcentral's name for it is "sequence contains ITS1, 5.8S rRNA gene". The record is from RNAcentral. Lineage: Eukaryota; Fungi.